CGUUUCACAAAGGGGCGCCGUAACCGGCUGAGAUUGAACCUAGAUUCUGACCCUUCGAACCUGUUCGUUAGCACGAGCGUAGGGAUUGUGAUUGAGAAAUGA
This 102-nucleotide non-coding RNA is filed under the name Trichococcus sp. Its description in RNAcentral is "TPP sequence". It matches the Rfam family "TPP riboswitch aptamer (THI element)". Rfam says of the family: Vitamin B(1) in its active form thiamin pyrophosphate (TPP) is an essential coenzyme that is synthesised by coupling of pyrimidine and thiazole moieties in bacteria. The previously detected thiamin-regulatory element, thi box was extended, resulting in a new, highly conserved RNA secondary structure, the THI element, which is widely distributed in eubacteria and also occurs in some archaea. The record is from RNAcentral. Lineage: Bacteria; Bacillati; Bacillota; Bacilli; Lactobacillales; Carnobacteriaceae.